This 465-nucleotide ribosomal RNA is filed under the name uncultured bacterium. RNAcentral describes it as "partial 16S ribosomal RNA". It matches the Rfam family "Bacterial small subunit ribosomal RNA", at positions 338 to 795 of the family's 1533-position model. The record is from RNAcentral.
CCUACGGGCGGCAGCAGUAGGGAAUUUUCGUCAAUGGGCGCAAGCCUGAACGAGCAAUGCCGCGUGAACGAGGAAGGUCUUCGGAUCGUAAAGUUCUGUUGAAGGGGAAAAAGAGCGGAGAGAGCAAAUGGUCUCCGAUUGAUAUUACCCUUCGAGGAAGUCACGGCUAACUACGUGCCAGCAGCCGCGGUAAUACGGAGGUGGCGAGCGUUAUCCGGAAUGAUUGGGCGUAAAGGGUGCGUAGGCGGCCUGCUAAGUCUGGAGUGAAAGGUACCGGCUCAACCGGUACAGUCUCUGGAAACUGGCGGGCUAGAGAGCAGGAGAGGGCGGUGGAACUCCAUGGGUAGCGGUAAAAUGCGUAGAUAUAUGGAAGAACACCAGUGGCGAAGGCGGCCGCCUGGCCUGUUGACUGACGCUGAGGCACGAAAGCGUGGGGAGCAAAUAGGAUUAGAUACCCUAGUAGUC